This 922-nucleotide ribosomal RNA is filed under the name Micrococcus luteus. RNAcentral's name for it is "bacterial SSU rRNA". It matches the Rfam family "Bacterial small subunit ribosomal RNA", at positions 42 to 974 of the family's 1533-position model. The record is from RNAcentral. Lineage: Bacteria; Bacillati; Actinomycetota; Actinomycetes; Micrococcales; Micrococcaceae.
GCGUGCUUAACACAUGCAAGUCGAACGAUGAAGCCCAGCUUGCUGGGUGGAUUAGUGGCGAACGGGUGAGUAACACGUGAGUAACCUGCCCUUAACUCUGGGAUAAGCCUGGGAAACUGGGUCUAAUACCGGAUAGGAGCGCUCCACCGCAUGGUGGGUGUUGGAAAGAUUUAUCGGUUUUGGAUGGACUCGCGGCCUAUCAGCUUGUUGGUGAGGUAAUGGCUCACCAAGGCGACGACGGGUAGCCGGCCUGAGAGGGUGACCGGCCACACUGGGACUGAGACACGGCCCAGACUCCUACGGGAGGCAGCAGUGGGGAAUAUUGCACAAUGGGCGCAAGCCUGAUGCAGCGACGCCGCGUGAGGGAUGACGGCCUUCGGGUUGUAAACCUCUUUCAGUAGGGAAGAAGCGAAAGUGACGGUACCUGCAGAAGAAGCACCGGCUAACUACGUGCCAGCAGCCGCGGUAAUACGUAGGGUGCGAGCGUUAUCCGGAAUUAUUGGGCGUAAAGAGCUCGUAGGCGGUUUGUCGCGUCUGUCGUGAAAGUCCGGGGCUUAACCCCGGAUCUGCGGUGGGUACGGGCAGACUAGAGUGCAGUAGGGGAGACUGGAAUUCCUGGUGUAGCGGUGGAAUGCGCAGAUAUCAGGAGGAACACCGAUGGCGAAGGCAGGUCUCUGGGCUGUAACUGACGCUGAGGAGCGAAAGCAUGGGGAGCGAACAGGAUUAGAUACCCUGGUAGUCCAUGCCGUAAACGUUGGGCACUAGGUGUGGGGACCAUUCCACGGUUUCCGCGCCGCAGCUAACGCAUUAAGUGCCCCGCCUGGGGAGUACGGCCGCAAGGCUAAAACUCAAAGGAAUUGACGGGGGCCCGCACAAGCGGCGGAGCAUGCGGAUUAAUUCGAUGCAACGCGAAGAACCUUAC